CCUACGGGAGGCAGCAGUGAGGAAUAUUGGUCAAUGGGCGGGAGCCUGAACCAGCCAAGCCGCGUGAGGGAAGAAGGUACAGCGUAUCGUAAACCUCUUUUGUCAGGGAACAAAGGCGGGGACUAGUCCCCGGAUGAGGGUACCUGAAGAAAAAGCAUCGGCUAACUCCGUGCCAGCAGCCGCGGUAAUAGGGAGGAUGCGAGCGUUAUCCGGAUUUAUGGGGUUAAAAGGGUGCGCGGGGGGCCUGUUAAGUCAGCGGUAAAAGCCCGGGGCUCAAGCCGGGCGAGCGGUUGAAACGGGCGGGCUGGAGUUGGAGAGAAGUACGCGGAAUGCGCGGUGUAGCGGUGAAAUGCUUAGAUAUCGGGCAGAACCCCGAUGGCGAAGGCAGCGUACCGGCUCCACACUGACGCUGAGGAACGAAAGCGUGGGUAUCGAACAGGAUUAGAUACCCCUGUAGUC
This 459-nucleotide ribosomal RNA is filed under the name uncultured bacterium. RNAcentral describes it as "partial 16S ribosomal RNA". It matches the Rfam family "Bacterial small subunit ribosomal RNA", at positions 338 to 795 of the family's 1533-position model. The record is from RNAcentral.